This is a long non-coding RNA of Brachypodium distachyon (stiff brome), 1443 nucleotides long. RefSeq lists it as uncharacterized. NCBI's taxonomy places the organism in Eukaryota, Viridiplantae, Streptophyta, Magnoliopsida, Poales, Poaceae. The record is from RefSeq and is a predicted model, not a curated record. The transcript is spliced from 4 exons.
GGUAAAAGGAAAAAGGAACAACCGGUCAAAAUCCCUAACACUCUCUCGUUCUUCUCUUCCACCACGCUGCCCAGCUCGGCCGAUCUUGCGCUGCCUCUGCUUCCACAUCACGCACCCAUGGCGGGCCGCUCCGCCGCCGAGCCCUGCGUCACGCGCCGCCUCCUCGCUCGUCCGGCUAGCCGCCUCCUUCUCACAUCGACCCCCUCCCCUUCUCCACCUUCUCCCCCAGCCCCCCAGUUCUUUCCCUUCUAGUGUUGCCCGGCGGACGUCCCGGCUUCUCCGGCCAAGAUCGCUCGUGAGCCCGCAUCCUUCCGGCUCCAGUAAAUUUGCUCCGAGGCCUCAGAUCCCCAGUAGCUGCUGCAACUGCCCUUCCUUCUCUCCAGCCAAGGUUCCCAGGUGCACCAUCUCUCUCCCGCGAGAAGACUUCUGCAGUUCAGCCUUCAGGUCCAGUGCAUGAGUGCUAAGUGUGCAACUCAGAAUUAAGCAAUGGCUGAUAGAGACUGGAUGUAUAGUGGUUGGAAACGUGGUAAACCAACAGAUGAGUGGUAUGAGAACACAAAGGAAUUUUUAGAUCUUGCCUUUUCUAAUCCAAAUGUAGUGCAAAAUGGGGAGAUUAAGUGCCCGUGCUCAGAUUGUCAAAACUACAAUAGGAAGAACAGAGAUGGUGUGGAGUUAGAUUUGUGUCAUUUUGGUUUCAAGAGAAAUUACACUGUUUGGACAGAACAUGGUGAGAGACGUGUCCAUAUCACAAACCAUGCAUUUGUUGAAGUGGGUGAUAUGGUUAGGAUGGACAACAUGGUCGCUGACUUAUCAGCUAGUGAAGGUGCAAUAAGGAAGUCAGAGAUUCUUGCAGUUGCUAAACACACAACAUUAGGUCAGCAAACUCUGGACUUCCUGAUUUAUUGAGGAGGAACCGGCAACUGGAAAAGAAGUGCAAAAAAAUUGAUAUUGUGACAAAACAUCUCAAAGUAAGAUAUCUCAUUUGUAUACAUACAAUUUUGUUACUUUGCUGUAAGCUGAACCACUAUUUCGACUACAACUCCUAUAUGCUAAAUCUGGACUUCCUGUGCCCGAAGACCUGGAAGAUGACCUUAUGGCCGAUGGUGAUCAUGUAUCUUCCCCAUACCAAGACGACGUUGAUACUCCGCUGACCGGAUCGUCCCAUGCCAAACAUCAUGCUCAUACUACUCCCCAAUCAAGACAACAUGGUGCUACUCCACAACACACUCCUAAUGAUUAAGAUGGCCAAGCAUAAUGACCACUUAUAUUUGAUGUAGCAUGUUGUAGUUGUUCUUUUGUGAACUUGAUUGCUAUCCUCAGUUAGUGUGAUCUUGUCUGAACUUGUAUUUUGUGAACAUUGGUGGAUGUCAAUUGAAGUGUGUGAUCUGUACUAUUAUGUGGUCAGUUUGGAAAUAUAUAUCUGUCUGUCUUUCAAAUUCCGAA